GGGCCAGUGGCUAAGCCAGGUAUAGCGACAGGCUCUUAACUUGUAGAUCUCGGGAAUUCCCCGAUUUCAAGGACUGGUCGAGGGUUCUGGUUUGCUGAUUUCCAGCAGGUCGCCCAAAAAUCCCUCCUGGCCCGCCA
This 137-nucleotide transfer RNA is filed under the name Candidatus Thorarchaeota archaeon. RNAcentral describes it as "tRNA-Lys". Lineage: Archaea; Promethearchaeati; Candidatus Thorarchaeota. The record is from RNAcentral.